AUACGGAGGAUGCAAGCGUUAUCCGGAUUUAUUGGGUUUAAAGGGUGCGUAGGCGGGACUGUAAGUCAGGGGUGAAAUACUGCAGCUUAACUGUAGCAUUGCCUUUGAAACUGCCGUUCUUGAGUACAGUUGAGGGAGGCGGAAUGUGGGGUGUAGCGGUGAAAUGCAUAGAUAUACCACAGAACGCCGAUUGCGAAGGCAGCUUACUAAGCUGUUACUGACGCUGAGGCACGAAAGCGUGGGGAUCAAACAGGAUUAGAUACCCUGGUAGUCCACGCUGUAAACGAUGAUUACUGGUUGUUAGCGAUAUAUAGCUAGUGACUGAGCGAAAGCAUUAAGUAAUCCACCUGGGGAGUACGUCGGCAACGAUGAAACUCAAAUGAAUUGACGGGG
Molecule: ribosomal RNA, 393 nt
Filed under: uncultured bacterium
Lineage: Bacteria
Description: partial 16S ribosomal RNA
Rfam family: Bacterial small subunit ribosomal RNA
Source: RNAcentral